RNAcentral lists this unclassified non-coding RNA (361 nucleotides) under soil metagenome. Its description in RNAcentral is "partial contains 5.8S ribosomal RNA, internal transcribed spacer 2, and large subunit ribosomal RNA". The stretch from base 1 to 120 matches the Rfam family "5.8S ribosomal RNA", at positions 35 to 154 of the family's 154-position model. The record is from RNAcentral.
GAUGAAGAACGUAGCGAAAUGCGAUAAGUAAUGUGAAUUGCAGAAUUUAGUGAAUCAUCGAAUCUUUGAACGCAUAUUGCGCCCGCCAGCACUCUGGCGGGCAUGCCUGUUCGAGCGUCAUUUCAACCCUCAGGCCUCGCGUCUGGCGUUGGGGCGCUGCGGCCCUCCCGCAGGCCCCCAAAUUUAGCGGCAGAUUCCCCGCGGCCCUGAGCGCAGUAGAGAGUAAAAACUUUAACGCUCCGGCGGCCGUGGCGCGGUUCUGCCUCUUUCCCAAUAGCGCCAAUAGCGCCACCCCCAAAAAAGUUGACCUCGGAUCAGGUAGGACUACCCGCUGAACUUAAGCAUAUCAAUAAGCGGAGGA